AACGUAGGAGACAAACGUUAUCCGGAGUUACUGGGCGUAAAGAGCUCGUAGGCGGUUUGUCGCGUCUGUCGUGAAAGCUUGGGGCUUAACCCCAAGUCUGCGGUGGAUACGGGCAGACUAGAGGCAGGUAGGGGAGAACGGAAUUCCCGGUGUAGCGGUGAAAUGCGCAGAUAUCGGGAGGAACACCGGUGGCGAAGGCGGUUCUCUGGGCCUGUACUGACGCUGAGGAGCGAAAGCGUGGGGAGCGAACAGG
This 253-nucleotide ribosomal RNA is filed under the name uncultured bacterium. RNAcentral describes it as "partial 16S ribosomal RNA". It matches the Rfam family "Bacterial small subunit ribosomal RNA", at positions 524 to 776 of the family's 1533-position model. The record is from RNAcentral.